Molecule: ribosomal RNA, 342 nt
Filed under: uncultured Sphingobacteriales bacterium
Lineage: Bacteria; Pseudomonadati; Bacteroidota; Sphingobacteriia; Sphingobacteriales
Description: bacterial SSU rRNA
Rfam family: Bacterial small subunit ribosomal RNA
Source: RNAcentral
UGCAUGGUUGUCGUCAGCUCGUGCCGUGAGGUGUCGGGUUAAGUCCCAUAACGAGCGCAACCCUUAUCGUUAGUUGCCAGCGGGUAAUGCCGGGAACGUCUAGCGAAACUGCCGGUGUAACCGAGAGGAAGGUGGGGAUGACGUCAAAUCAGCACGGCCCUUAUGUCCAGGGCUACACACGUGUUACAAUGGCCGGUACAGAGGGCAGCUACCUGUUGACAGGAUGCGAAUCUCGAAAGCCGGUCUCAGUUCGGAUCGGAGUCUGCAACCCGACUCCGUGAAGCUGGAUUCGCUAGUAAUCGCGCAUCAGCCAUGGCGCGGUGAAUACGUUCCCGGGCCUUU